AGACUGGGGACUAUGAAAUAUAUCCUUUAUGUGGGCACCUUGGGUAUAUGGAGUCAGUGGUGCAACCGACCUCAU
Molecule: non-coding RNA, 75 nt
Filed under: uncultured Sporosarcina sp.
Lineage: Bacteria; Bacillati; Bacillota; Bacilli; Caryophanales; Caryophanaceae
Description: Cyclic di-GMP-II riboswitch
Rfam family: Cyclic di-GMP-II riboswitch aptamer (bases 6-71)
Source: RNAcentral